AUAAUUAGGUGCACUUUUGGAAAAUUAUUUGAUACUCGUGGGAAUAUCAGGGUCUACACAACAUUGGAAUCUUCAUUCCCGGGCAUACUAUGCAAGAUUUCUGUGAAAGUUAAUCCACCUAUCACCAAACAUUUGCCCAUCACUUAUCUUUUCCAAAUUUCUUCAAAACACAUCUCUCCCAUCACUGCUGCUACCCCCUUUGCCUCUGCCUCUCUCGUAUGUAUCGUCAACCGUAGUAACAAAUGCUGGGACUCUCAUAUGGAGAAAUACUUCUGUUGAUUGGAGUCACUGCUGCUGUAAUUGGCCCAAAAGAUUUGCCAAUCAUAGCCAGAACAGCUGGGAGGCUAGCUGGUCGCGCUGUUGGAUAUGUACAAUUGGCUCGCGGCCAAUUUGACAGCGUUAUGCAGCAAACCCAAGCUCGCCAGGUUCACAAGGAACUGCAGGACACAAUGGCACAGCUCGAUGCUAUUCGUCAUGAAAUUAGAAGUAUAUCACUCAUAAAUCCCGGCCCUAUGACCCGCAGGCUUGUGGAUAAUCCUGACCAGACAUCUAUUCCAAAUGGCACCAAAAAAGCCGAAGACGUUGGAGAGAAUAAGUCCAUACCCCCUGCUACCACUAACUCAACACCCACUGUUAUCAAGGAUUCACCUUUGUUGGCCUCAUCAAAUUCAUGCAACAUGCAAAGUCAAGCAACGACAUAUGCCCGAUUGGCAGAGUCUGCUAUCAUCAAGAACAGUUUAGCUGCAAGUAGUACUGAACCCCAGAAGAUUAAACCUGAACUGCAGCAUACUGUCUUGCCAAUUUCCGCUGAAAGCGCUGGACUCUUACCAAAUCGUAGCGCUGAUGUGAAAGGAUCCGACAUAGUUCUAGAAGCAAUCGUGGAGGCAGAAGUAGCUCACAAUGCCAAGGAAUUCUUUUCACAACCCCAAAAUCAAACAUGAUUGAUAUCAUAUGAUGAUGAGGAGUACCAGCCAAUGUUCUGGAAGCUGCAACAGAUCUCAUUCACAUGGAAGUUUGGAUAGGAAUCCAAAUCGAGCUAGAUCUGGAAAGGUUCCACACUGGUGCGGUUGUGGAAUGCGUCCCGUUCUUCGUUGGUCUGGAACAGAAGUAAAUCCAGAAAGACCAUUUUUUGGAUGUCCAAAUUAUAAUACCUCUGGAAAUAGAUGGUGUGGACUUUUUGUGUCGACAAAUGUCGUGGAAGAAGACAUGACUGGCAGACGUGAAAAUGAAAAUAGCAUUGAGUAUUGGAAGAUGAACGUGGGUUGGAAGAUUAGUGCAAUAGAAGCUGAAAUUAGGAUUUUAAAAGUAUGGAAUAGUAU
RNA transcript from Arachis ipaensis, 1319 nucleotides. RefSeq lists it as uncharacterized. The record is from RefSeq and is a predicted model, not a curated record. NCBI's taxonomy places the organism in Eukaryota, Viridiplantae, Streptophyta, Magnoliopsida, Fabales, Fabaceae.